AGUGAACGCUGGCGGUAGGCCUAACACAUGCAAGUCGAACGGCAGCACAGUAAGAGCUUGCUCUUACGGGUGGCGAGUGGCGGACGGGUGAGGAAUACAUCGGAAUCUACUUUUUCGUGGGGGAUAACGUAGGGAAACUUACGCUAAUACCGCAUACGACCUACGGGUGAAAGCAGGGGAUCUUCGGACCCUGCGCGAUUGAAUGAGCCGAUGUCGGAUUAGCUAGUUGGCGGGGUAAAGGCCCACCAAGGCGACGAUCCGUAGCUGGUCUGAGAGGAUGAUCAGCCACACUGGAACUGAGACACGGUCCAGACUCCUACGGGAGGCAGCAGUGGGGAAUAUUGGACAAUGGGCGAAAGCCUGAUCCAGCCAUACCGCGUGGGUGAAGAAGGCCUUCGGGUUGUAAAGCCCUUUUGUUGGGAAAGAAAAGCAGCAGGUUAAUACCCCGCUGUUCUGACGGUACCCAAAGAAUAAGCACCGGCUAACUUCGUG
RNAcentral lists this ribosomal RNA (492 nucleotides) under uncultured bacterium. RNAcentral's name for it is "partial 16S ribosomal RNA". It matches the Rfam family "Bacterial small subunit ribosomal RNA", at positions 29 to 507 of the family's 1533-position model. The record is from RNAcentral.